AAAACUUUCAACAACGGAUCUCUUGGCUCUGGCAUCGAUGAAGAACGCAGCGAAAUGCGAUACGUAAUGCGAAUUGCAGAAUUCAGCGAGUCAUCGAAUCUUUGAACGCACAUUGCGCCCGCCAGCAUUCUGGCGGGCAUGCCUGUCCGAGCGUCAUU
This 158-nucleotide ribosomal RNA is filed under the name Ophiostoma piceae. RNAcentral describes it as "5.8S ribosomal RNA". It matches the Rfam family "5.8S ribosomal RNA". From Rfam's summary of the family: 5.8S ribosomal RNA (5.8S rRNA) is a component of the large subunit of the eukaryotic ribosome. Lineage: Eukaryota; Fungi; Ascomycota; Sordariomycetes; Ophiostomatales; Ophiostomataceae. RNAcentral also lists the same sequence under 4 other names. The record is from RNAcentral.